AAAGAUCCAAUGAAGGGAAGCAAGUAAGCAUAUGGGAUGUUUACAGAGAGCUGCUGGUGGUGGAAAUGCAGUAACUUACCAUAGGCUGAAUGGGUCCUAGAGGAUUUGGGUGAAAUUUUAGUAGCCUAAAACGCAUGCUCGCCGUUAAAUGAGCAGGAUAUGUUAGUAUCCUACAGAGGAGAAGCUUUUGCUUCUUGAAAUAGGUGGUACCGCGUAAUACUACGCCCUAUGC
This 232-nucleotide non-coding RNA is filed under the name Thermobrachium celere. Its description in RNAcentral is "T-box sequence". It matches the Rfam family "T-box leader". Rfam says of the family: Uncharged tRNA acts as the effector for transcription antitermination of genes in the T-box leader family. T-boxes are found upstream of many aminoacyl-tRNA synthetase genes and some amino acid biosynthetic genes usually in Gram-positive bacteria. The record is from RNAcentral. Lineage: Bacteria; Bacillati; Bacillota; Clostridia; Eubacteriales; Clostridiaceae.